This 73-nucleotide transfer RNA is filed under the name Pericrocotus ethologus (long-tailed minivet). Its description in RNAcentral is "tRNA-Asn". Lineage: Eukaryota; Metazoa; Chordata; Aves; Passeriformes; Campephagidae. The record is from RNAcentral.
UAGGUAGAAGCCCGCUGGUUUGGGCAUAUAGCUGUUAACUAUAGUGUUAUGGGAUUGAGGCCCAUCUGCCUAG